GAGAGGUUUCAAGAUUAUCCGCAGAGGAAAAUUAAUUUUCAAGAAGAUAAUCAGCCGAGAAUAUUUACUUAUCAAGAACUAAUAAUGGCAACUAGAGGUUUCUCCGAGGACAACCGUNNGUCUUGACGAGGGUCCUUGGGGUCAAGUCUAUAAGGGAGACCUAAAUGGUGAAAAGGUGACAGUUAAGAAAUUUAAUAAUCCUAGGAAGCAAGAAGAAGAAUACACG
RNAcentral lists this unclassified non-coding RNA (226 nucleotides) under Hevea brasiliensis (rubber tree). The record is from RNAcentral. Lineage: Eukaryota; Viridiplantae; Streptophyta; Magnoliopsida; Malpighiales; Euphorbiaceae.